Molecule: ribosomal RNA, 460 nt
Filed under: uncultured bacterium
Lineage: Bacteria
Description: partial 16S ribosomal RNA
Rfam family: Bacterial small subunit ribosomal RNA
Source: RNAcentral
CCUACGGGUGGCAGCAGUGAGGAAUAUUGGUCAAUGGACGAGAGUCUGAACCAGCCAAGUAGCGUGAAGGAUGACUGCCCUAUGGGUUGUAAACUUCUUUUAUAUGGGAAUAAAAUGUUCCACGUGUGGGAUUUUGUAUGUACCAUAUGAAUAAGGAUCGGUUAACUCCGUGCCAGCAGCCGCGGUAAUACGGAGGAUCCGAGCGUUAUCCGGAUUUAUUGGGUUUAAAGGGAGCGUAGGUGGAUUGUUAAGUCAGUUGUGAACGUUUGCGGGUCAACCGUAAAAUUGCAGUUGAAACUGGCAGGCUUGAGUACAGAAGAGGUGGGAGGAAUUCGUGGUGUAGCGGUGAAAUGCUUAGAUAGCACGAAGAACUCCGAUUGCGAAGGCAGCUCACUGGACUGCAACUGACACUGAGGCUCGAAAGUGUGGGUAUCAAACAGGAUUAGAUACCCGUGUAGUC